UACGGAGGGUGCAAGCGUUAUCCGGAAUCACUGGGUUUAAAGGGUGCGUAGGCGGUGGAGUAAGUCAGUUGUGAAAUUCCCUCGCUUAACGAGUGGGACUGCGAUUGAUACUGCUUUACUUGAAUCAGGUUGAGGUGAGCGGAAUGUGGCAUGUAGCGGUGAAAUGCAUAGAUAUGCCAUAGAACACCGAUUGCGAAGGCAGCUUGCUGGACCUUGAUUGACGCUGAGGCACGAAAGCGUGGGGAGCAAACAGG
This 254-nucleotide ribosomal RNA is filed under the name uncultured bacterium. RNAcentral's name for it is "partial 16S ribosomal RNA". It matches the Rfam family "Bacterial small subunit ribosomal RNA", at positions 524 to 776 of the family's 1533-position model. The record is from RNAcentral.